UGAGCUCUUUUUUAGAGCAAUUACAGAAGCCUAAGAUAGGCGGUUACACCAUAAUUAACUAACUCCCUAAUCAACUGCCACAUCAACACUUAACUAACUUGAUUAACAACUUUAUAACUAAUCUGAUACAACCCUCACUGAACAUAGACUUAGUAUUAAUUCAAAAGGAAGUUUGCUACAUAGUUUCUGAAAUAAAAGAGUAGUAACAGGUUUAGUAAGAAUAUCGGCAAGCUGAUCUUCAGCAAAUAUGUGACGAACAUCCAGUUCUUUCUUCAAGACCUUGUCACGAACAAAGUGAACAUCAAUUUCUAUGUGUUUUGUACGAGCGUGAAGAACUGGAUUAGACGCCAUGACAGUGGCACUGCGGUUGUCGCACCAGAUGACAGGGAGUUGAGGUGUAGUGUAGCCUAUUUCUUUAAGCAACGAACUUAUCCAGACCAAUUCCAUAGAAGUGUCUGCAAGCGAGCGAUACUCAGCCUCUGUGGAACUUCGAAAGACAAUACCUUGUUUCUUAGAACUCCAUGAUAAAAGAUUGGAGCCUAGAAAGAUGAAGUAACCUCAUGUGGAUUUGCGGUCAUCAAUCGACCCUGCCCAGUCAGCAUCAGAGUAAGCAGUAAAAUGGAGAAAUUGAGAGGAGGUGAACUUGAGAGAGUAAUGAAGAGAGCCUUUAAGAUAGCGUAAGAGGCGCUUGCAUGCUUUCCACUGAAGCUCGGUCGGAGCUUGCAAGAAUUGGCUCAGUUUAUUCACCGUAAAUUCAAGAUAUACACUGUUAUCAUGAGUGAAUUGAGAUAUACUGAGUAGGCUUUUAGUAAUAUGAGGGACAUAUAAGAUGUUAUUAAGAGCAAGAGUUUGUGUGGACUGAGAGCAAGGUAAAAUAGUGGAUCCAACAUGAGUGAUGGGGAGUUGAGAUCCAUUACCUACAGUGACGGAUUCAGAGCCAGUGUAAGGAGUUUGGAUUUGGAGAUUACUCAGGUCUGAUGUAACGUGAGCAGAGGCUCCAGAGUCCAGAUACCAAUCGGAUGAGGAAGCUGUAGUAGUGUUUGAGUUCAUAGUGUAUGCAGUAGGUGUGGAGUGAGUAGGCAUAGAUCUAGCCACCUGCGAGGAAGAAGUUUGCUGCAAAUACUGAUUAGAUGAAGAAUCAACAUGAGCAGUGUUAGCCUGAGGGUGAGAUGUUUGAGUUGAGUUUGGCUCCGGUCCAGUAAAGCUCACAUCGAACCGUUUGUAGCACUUGAGUGCUACAUGAUUGGAUUUGCCACAAAGUUGGCAGAUCGGCUUGUUGUUUGAAGAGUACCUAUCUCCUCCUCUGCCGCGGUUGCUAGAUCCUCUACCAGAUCUACCUCAUCUUCCUCCAAAAUUUUGAUAAGUAACAUUAGCUUGAGGAGCAAUAGAUUGAGAAAUGGUGUUAGUCAUCACAGAAGCCUGAUUCUGCAGGCGUAGUUCAUGAGUUUGCAAUGCAAAUUGCACUUCAUGUAAAGACAUCUCAUCAGAUCUAGAGGAUAGUAAGACACUUAUACUUUCGAAUUCUGCACCUAAGCCUUCAAGAAUAUAGGAAAUGAGAUCAGAUUCUGAGAUCGGUUGUCACAGCCCAAAACCAUUUAUUUCCUUUGCAAAUUUUAUUUGAAAAUUAUUAAAGUUUCGAGUUAUUAAUAUAUAUAUCUAUGAGUCGAAUUUAUGAAAUUGUCUAAUCGCGCCCCUAGUUAGGAAUAAAACUUUGAAUUAUAGAUUAUGUCUAUAAUUAUUAAAAUUUAUAUUCUAAAUUCUAAUUUAAAUUUGGGCCUAAUAAUCUAUUAUGUUAGGCUUUAUUAACAUUGGGCCUUUUUAUAUUUUGGAUUAGAACUUUACAAUUUUUUUUUGAUAAGCCCAAUGCAUAUUAUCGGCCCAACAUUAACGUAGUGUAGAUAAUUAGCAUUUCACUCUUAUUUUUUUUGGUAAAAUUGGUUUUAACGUGUUGCUCAAUUACAUCAGCCAGCAAUCUUAUUCACCACAUUUUUCAGCCACGUAUCACUCCAAUUCUUAUCUCAUUUAAAUUACCUCAUCUCAUCUCUGAAAUUCCUGUGAAACUUCAAAUUUGCUCAAAUCUCUUCAGUCUCCUACUAUAGAACUUCAGAUGGUAAAUUUAUUUUCUGUGAUUUUAAAUCAUCGAAGCAAUUCUAGUUUCUCCUCUUUUAUAUUGAACAAAAACAUAACAGGCCUUUCUAAAUAAUUUUGUUCUUGAAUCAAAUUCAGCAUACACAUGCUUCAAAUCAAACAAUUUUCCUAAAUCAUUCACCUAAUUCAUGAGAAAAACAAAUAGAAUAAAAUUCUACUACUUUUCCAGAAAGGAAAUUAGAAAACUUGGAAUAGAAAAUAGAAGAAGUUGAAGAGGAUUUGGGGCAUAGGGUUUAGAAGGGGAAGAGAGGGCGUCUGGUGGCUGCUUCGGUGCUGCUGUCCCAGCGGCGCUACAGCUGCGCUGUUGACGGCGGAGUAGAGGCGGCAGCGGCUGGCUGCUCGCCGGAGCAGGGGGCCGGCGUCAGAUGGCUGUCUGGCCGCGACGGAGAGAGAGGUUGGGGGAGAGAGGAAGGCUGGGAAGAAAGGGGUCAGGGAGAGGGAAAGGGAGGCUGGGAAGGAGAGGGAGACGCCGGGCAGCGCCGCCGUCGGACGGCGGCGGCGGAAGACGAGGGAGGGAGAGAGGGUGCGCUGGUGUGUGUUUGAGGUGUGAGUGUGUGUUUGGGGGCUGGUGUGUCAUGUGUGUGCAGAAUGUGAGAGGGAGAGAAUGAGAUGUAGUAUUUUUUUUUUUUUUUUUUUUUUUUUUGUGAGGAGAAAAUGAGAUGUAGAUUUAAGAAACAAAGAAUGGGUUUUGAGCAAAUUCUUGGGCUGAGACUAUUAAAAAGUUGGGCUAGGCUUUUAUUUUGAUUAAUGGGAUAGUUUGAGCCAAAAUUUGACUUUAUUUAUAUUUAGUAAUUUGGGCCUCAGAUUUUUAUUAUACAUUGAACCCAAUAUUUAUAAUAAAGGAUAUCUUAUAAAAGGAUUUUAAUGAUCUUUUAAAAUAAAUUCUUAAUGUUUAUAUUAUUUCUAAAUUUUAAUUAGUCCCUUAUAUUGAUUAUUUGAAUGUAUUUGACUAGGUGCGGCGCGACUAGGACAUGGAUUUUAAUUUGAAUUAUCAGAAUUAUCUUUCAAAGCUCAAGUUUCAGGUGUGGGAUUUAUUUCAGUACAUGUUGUGGUUAAUCUUUGUCCAUUUUAAUAUUAUGUGUUUACCAUAUGUGAGUUACAUUAAAUUAUAUUGCCAGGGGCCCGUUAAAUGGGUCCAGAAUGGUAAAGAUCCUUGGUAUGCCACAAUGCGAUAUACAUGUUAAAGUUAUGGUGCAACCAGUCGUCAGGGGCCUGCUGAAUCGGUCCAGGACGGAAAGGUCCUUGGUAUGCCGCCGUGCGACUUUCAGUUACGAAUGUUUGAUCAUAUGUGUUUCCAUUUUAUUAACGUGGACAAUGAUUGCAUGUUCCCACACUGAGUGUACCAUGUAUGCUCAUCCCAUUACCAUACUUAACAUUUUCAGGUUUUAAAGGCCGAAGGCGCGUGGAAGGUCGAAUGGCGAAUCAAAUAUUUUAAAUUUAGUUUUACUUAAAAAUGUUAUGUUUAGUAAAGUAUUUUAAAAUAAGAUAUUUAUUUCUUUAUUUUCACAUUAAAUAUUUAUUUAUAGUCAUGAUUUUUCGCGUGCGUUUUCAUUAAAUUUAAAUUGAAUUUGGGUGUCACAUCGGUUUACCGAUGUUGAAGAGUUGAUCGGAGAGUUCUCUGAAUUUUUGAGAAUAUAUUCAUCAAUGGAUGAAUCGCCUUUCUUCAUGAGUUGCAGUUGAGUACGCAAUUGCAUAGCUCUCGCCUUGGAUUGAGAAUGGAAAAGUGUCUCAAACGUGCUCCAGAUCUGAGCCGCAGUAAUGCAGCGACCAAUGUACCCCAUCAUUUGGGGAGAAAUGGAGGAAAGUAACCAGCUAAACAUGAACUGGUCACGACGCAGCCAAUUGAGAUACUCCGGAUUUGACUCGGAUGCUGUUGUUGCUGAUUCUAAUUCCAGAAAUUGUGGAGGAGAUUUAUGGUGAAUAAGUAUAUCUUCAAAUCCAUAAGCACGAGUUGUAGCUAUUACUUGAAUUUUCCAAAAACUGUAAUUGGAUCUGUCCAAUUUGAGUGUAAAGGGUGCAUAGCAGGUAGUGUGGAUGAAGUUUGGGUAGUUUGAUUCAUGGUGUGGAAUGGAGAUUAAAGAGAAGAAGAAGAUGUGAAUUUAGCGGAAGCAAAAAAUUAGUUUUGGAUCGGAAAAAAUGAGCUCGAUACCAUGUUGAAUGUAAACUAGAAUAUGAAAAUGAUAAGAAAAGCUUAAUCUCCAUUCCAUAAACUGAGCUCUUUUAUAGAGCAAUUCAGAAGCCUAAGAUAGGCGGUUACACCAUAAUUAACUAACUCCCUAAUCAGCUGCCACAUCAACACUUAACUAACUUGAUUAACAACCUUAUAACUAAUCUAAUAAACUCAGGGCAUGGGGACUCCAUCUCUUUAUUGGUUUACUUAAAGCUGGUGCGUAGGAUUAAUUCAAGGCAUAGGGAAGGGUUGAACGAGGAGCGAGACC
This 4586-nucleotide long non-coding RNA is filed under the name Salvia miltiorrhiza (redroot sage). RNAcentral's name for it is "long non-coding RNA (SMIL_LNC008731)". Lineage: Eukaryota; Viridiplantae; Streptophyta; Magnoliopsida; Lamiales; Lamiaceae. The record is from RNAcentral.